AUGGUUUGUUCGAUCUUGAUCAUAGUGAUACACAUAUUCAUAAUAUUGAAGCCAAAAAGAUGCAAAGUUAAUAAUGAUAGUGCAACUUAUUUGUGGCACUGCCGUUUAGGUCAUGUUGGUGUAAAGCGCAUGAAGAAACUCCAUGCUGAUGGACUUUUGGAAUCACUUGAUUAUGAAUCACUUGAUGCUUGCGAACCAUGCCUCUUGGGCAAGAUGACUAAAACGCCGUUCUCCGGAACAAUGAAGCAAGCAACAGAUUUGUUGGAAAUCAUACAUACUGAUGUAUGUGGUCCGAUGAAUGUUAAGGCUUGCAGCGGGUAUCAUUAUUUUAUGACCUUCACAAAUGAUUUGAGCAGAUAUGGGUAUAUCUACUUAAUGAAAUAG
This 384-nucleotide ribosomal RNA is filed under the name Triticum aestivum (bread wheat). RNAcentral's name for it is "partial small subunit ribosomal RNA". The record is from RNAcentral. Lineage: Eukaryota; Viridiplantae; Streptophyta; Magnoliopsida; Poales; Poaceae.